GAUGAACGCUGGCGGCGUGCCUAAUACAUGCAAGUCGAGCGAACAGAUGAGGAGCUUGCUCCUCUGACGUUAGCGGCGGACGGGUGAGUAACACGUGGAUAACCUACCUAUAAGACUGGGAUAACUUCGGGAAACCGGAGCUAAUACCGGAUAAUAUAUUGAACCGCAUGGUUCAAUAGUGAAAGACGGUUUUGCUGUCACUUAUAGAUGGAUCCGCGCCGCAUUAGCUAGUUGGUAAGGUAACGGCUUACCAAGGCAACGAUGCGUAGCCGACCUGAGAGGGGACUCGGCCACACUGGAACUGAGACCGGUCCCAGCCCCCAACGGAGGGCAGAGGGGGGAAACUUCCCGAAUGGGCCGAAACCCUAAGGGAGAACCCCCGGGGGGUUAAUGAGGGUCUUCGAUCCGAAAACCUCUUUAUUAGGGAAGAACAAAUGUGUAAGUAACUAUGCACGUCUUGACGGUACCUAAUCAGAAAGCCACGGCUAACUACGUG
RNAcentral lists this ribosomal RNA (496 nucleotides) under uncultured bacterium. RNAcentral describes it as "partial 16S ribosomal RNA". It matches the Rfam family "Bacterial small subunit ribosomal RNA", at positions 28 to 507 of the family's 1533-position model. The record is from RNAcentral.